RNAcentral lists this long non-coding RNA (707 nucleotides) under Triticum aestivum (bread wheat). RNAcentral's name for it is "long non-coding RNA (TAES_LNC013783)". Lineage: Eukaryota; Viridiplantae; Streptophyta; Magnoliopsida; Poales; Poaceae. The record is from RNAcentral.
CUAAAGUUGUUGCAGUUGUGGGUGAGCAGGCUGUAGGUGGCGGCGGUGUAGCGCGGCGCGAUGUCGCGGAGGUAGUCCUCGAAGACCUCGCGGGGGAGGUGGGUGACGCCCAGGUCGACGACCCGCACGGGGCGGCCGUACUGCGUGGCCCCCGCCGGCGCCGCCUGGAUCCCGCCCCCGAAGAAGUACUCGUUGCCGUACACCACCACGCCCGUGUGCCUGCCGGGAUCAGCCGCGGACCGGGUCAAAAUCGCGUCUUUUUCGGAUCAAUCGAAUCGAUCUCAGAGGGGGAGGAAGGGAGCUGGGGGCGUACCAUAUGGCCUCGAUGGGCUUGCCGAGGAAGGAGGUGGAGAGCUGGCGCGCCAGGCCGUUGCUGAGGUCGUACACGUUGAGCACCACCUUGUGCCCCUCCUGCCAUGGACGACAAACAAGCAAGCAGCGUCAGAUCUCGAGCCAAUUCGAUCGAUUACGAGCGGCGCGGCACCUAACAACGACAGCAACAACAAAUUGGAGAAGAAGGGGAAGGGGCGAGCGCUUACCUCCGCCAUUAUCGCUUGGGAAAUCGUCGAGUCGAAUCUGGAGGAAGACGACGACGCCGCCGGAAAGGAACGUGAACAGGAACGCACGCGCGGAUCUGGGAGGAGCGGAGAAACAGAGAGCAGGGAGAGACAGAGACCGGCCGGGGGACGCGCGCGCGUAUAUAAAAA